UACGUAGGGUGCAGGCGUUAAUCGGAAUUACUGGGCGUAAAGGGCGCGUAGGCGGCCUGCUAAGUCGGAUGUGAAAUCCCUCGGCUCAACCGAGGAACUGCAUCCGAUACUGGCGGGCUUGAAUCCGGGAGAGGGAUGUGGAAUUCCAGGUGUAGCGGUGAAAUGCGUAGAUAUCUGGAGGAACACCGGUGGCGAAGGCGGCAUCCUGGACCGGUAUUGACGCUGAGGCGCGAAAGCUAGGGGAGCAAACGGG
RNAcentral lists this ribosomal RNA (253 nucleotides) under uncultured bacterium. RNAcentral describes it as "partial 16S ribosomal RNA". It matches the Rfam family "Bacterial small subunit ribosomal RNA", at positions 524 to 776 of the family's 1533-position model. The record is from RNAcentral.